AUAUGAGAGAGAUGGAAUAUGAGAGAGAGAGAGAUGGAAUAUGGGCGACAGAGAGGUGGAAUAUGAGAGACAGAGAGAUGGAAUAUGAGAGACAGAGAGAUGGAAUAUGAGAGAGAGAGAGAUGGAAUAUGAGCGACAGAGAGAUGGAAUAUGAGAGACAGAGAGAUGGAAUAUGAGAGACAGAGAUGGAAUAUGAGAGACAGAGAGAUGGAAUAUGAGAGAGAGAGAGAUGGAAUAUGAGCGACAGAGAUGGAAUAUGAGAGAGAGAUGGAAUGUGAGAGAGAGAGAGAUAUGGAAUAUGGGCGACAGAGAGGUGGAAUAUGAGAGACAGAGAGAUGGAAUAUGAGAGACAGAGAGAUGGAAUAUGAGAGAGAGAGAGAUGGAAUAUGAGAGACAGAGAGAUGGAAUAUGAGAGACAGAGAGAUGGAAUAUGAGAGAGAGAGAGAUGGAAUAUGAGAGACAGAGAGAUGGAAUAUGAGAGACAGAGAGAUGGAAUAUGAGUGACAGGGAGAUGGAAUAUGAGAGACAGAGAGAUGGAAUAUGAGAGACAGAGAUGGAAUAUGAGAGAGAGAGAGAUGGAAUAUGAGAGAGAGAGAGAUGGAAUAUGAGAGACAGAGAGAUGGAUAUAGAGACUAUUAGAGGGAGAAACAAUAAAGGAGGGAGAGCGAGAAAGGAGGAAAGUAAGAAACCAUAGAAAGGCAGGUGAGAGACAAUGAGGAAAUUGAGAGAGGAGAAAGUAAGGGCCAUUAAAAACACAAUUUUGGCUCUGCGGUAAUGUCAGGCAGAGGCUUCAGCUGUUGUUGAUGUUGUGUGUCUUUGUGUUGGGCUUUUCAUUCAAACCAAAUCAUGUGGCAUGGUGUUCUCAUCCUCUGGUGUAAAAUACCUUCAAGGAUCAAAUGUUGAUUCAGAUUGGAAAUAUUGAUUCUUAACGGCACUUCAUUGACACAUUUUAGAAUGCAUUCAUGUGCUUGUCAUUGCUUGUCAUUUUAAUCACAUGCACGUUUUAAAGCUAUUGACAACACAUUAGCAUACUGCCUUUAGGGCUUUCACAACCACACGAUAAAUGCAUUCACUCACAUGAUGCACUUAAGAAUGUCUUACGGGCGAUAUCAGUAAGAAGGGCACCUCUUAAUGUAGGAG
This 1140-nucleotide long non-coding RNA is filed under the name Salmo salar (Atlantic salmon). RNAcentral's name for it is "lncRNA (ENSSSAG00000100712.1)". Lineage: Eukaryota; Metazoa; Chordata; Actinopteri; Salmoniformes; Salmonidae. The record is from RNAcentral.